CUUGUGUUUUGCUGUUGUCGGGUGGAUCACGAUGCAAUUUUGAUUAGAUUAGCAGGACGAAAAUUGCACGGUAUCCAUCUGUAAACCGCAGGACCUUCG
This 99-nucleotide microRNA precursor is filed under the name Anolis carolinensis (green anole). RNAcentral's name for it is "microRNA aca-mir-363 precursor". Its record names the gene aca-mir-363. The stretch from base 11 to 90 matches the Rfam family "mir-363 microRNA precursor family". Lineage: Eukaryota; Metazoa; Chordata; Lepidosauria; Squamata; Anolidae. The record is from miRBase by way of RNAcentral.